AACGGGUGGUAAUGCCGGAUGCUCCAUCACAUCGCAUGGUGUGUUGGGAAAGCCUUUGCGGCAUGGGAUGGGGUCGCGUCCUAUCAGCUUGAUGGCGGGGUAACGGCCCACCAUGGCUUCGACGGGUAGCCGGCCUGAGAGGGCGACCGGCCACAUUGGGACUGAGAUACGGCCCAGACUCCUACGGGAGGCAGCAGUGGGGAAUAUUGCACAAUGGGCGCAAGCCUGAUGCAGCGACGCCGCGUGAGGGAUGGAGGCCUUCGGGUUGUAAACCUCUUUUGUUAGGGAGCAAGGCAUUUUGUGUUGAGUGUACCUUUCGAAUAAGCACCGGCUAACUACGUGCCAGCAGCCGCGGUAAUACGUAGGGUGCAAGCGUUAUCCGGAAUUAUUGGGCGUAAAGGGCUCGUAGGCGGUUCGUCGCGUCCGGUGUGAAAGUCCAUCGCUUAACGGUGGAUCCGCGCCGGGUACGGGCGGGCUUGAGUGCGGUAGGGGAGACUGGAAUUCCCGGUGUAACGGUGGAAUGUGUAGAUAUCGGG
Molecule: ribosomal RNA, 536 nt
Filed under: Bifidobacterium breve
Lineage: Bacteria; Bacillati; Actinomycetota; Actinomycetes; Bifidobacteriales; Bifidobacteriaceae
Description: bacterial SSU rRNA
Rfam family: Bacterial small subunit ribosomal RNA
Source: RNAcentral